GGCGGACGGGUGAGUAAUAUAUAGGUAAUGUGCCUUUGCGAGGGGGAUAACAGUUGGAAACGACUGCUAAUACCGCAUAAUGUCUUCGGACCAAACGGGGCUUCGGCUCCGGCGCAAAGAGAGGCCCAAGUGAGAUUAGCUAGUUGGUAAGGUAAAGGCUUACCAAGGCGACGAUCUCUAGCUGUUCUGAGAGGAAGAUCAGCCACACUGGGACUGAGACACGGCCCAGACUCCUACGGGAGGCAGCAGUGGGGAAUAUUGCACAAUGGGGGAAACCCUGAUGCAGCCAUGCCGCGUGUGUGAAGAAGGCCUUCGGGUUGUAAAGCACUUUCAGUUGUGAGGAAAAGUUAGUAGUUAAUACCUGCUAGCCGUGACGUUAACAACAGAAGAAGCACCGGCUAACUCCGUGCCAGCAGCCGCGGUAAUACGGAGGGUGCGAGCGUUAAUCGGAAUUACUGGGCGUAAAGCGCACGCAGGCGGUUUGUUAAGCUAGAUGUGAAAGCCCCGGGCUCAACCUGGGAUGGUCAUUUAGAACUGGCAGACUAGAGUCUUGGAGAGGGGAGUGGAAUUCCAGGUGUAGCGGUGAAAUGCGUAGAUAUCUGGAGGAACAUCAGUGGCGAAGGCGACUCCCUGGCCAAAGACUGACGCUCAUGUGCGAAAGUGUGGGUAGCGAACAGGAUUAGAUACCCUGGUAGUCCACACCGUAAACGCUGUCUUCUAGCUGUGUGUGCCUUUAAGGCGUGCGUAGCGAAGCUAACGCGCUAAGUAGACCG
This 773-nucleotide ribosomal RNA is filed under the name uncultured Alteromonas sp. RNAcentral's name for it is "bacterial SSU rRNA". It matches the Rfam family "Bacterial small subunit ribosomal RNA", at positions 97 to 871 of the family's 1533-position model. The record is from RNAcentral. Lineage: Bacteria; Pseudomonadati; Pseudomonadota; Gammaproteobacteria; Alteromonadales; Alteromonadaceae.